GGCAGCGGCCCCUGGCGGCGGGGGGAUCGCGGCGCCGGCCGAGCGCUCUCCGGGUCAGGGCCGCCCCCAGUCGCUGACCACUCGCCUCCCUGGGCCCAGCCCGCAGCCCCAAGGCUCUAGGGCGGGAGCCUGGACUCGAACCGCGGCCCCUGGUGGACCCGGCUCAGCGGGGUCGGUGUGAGCGUAGAGACCCGCAGCGACGGGGGAUCUGUCAGUUAUCGAGGUCUCCACGGGUCACCCCCCAGUCAUGCCCCUUGCGAGCUGUGUGGCCUGCAAGGCUGGGCUCCCAUUUCACAGAAGGGAAACAACAGGACACAGAAGAUUGGCCUGACUUGCCUCAGUUGCUGGGUGCUGCACUGGACCAAGCCCUUCGCUCGCUCAGAUACACUCACUAAAGUCAGAACACAAAGAUUCUUUAUGAAUAUGUUGAACAGCCCUGGUCCCAGACCAGUACAAGCCCUUCAGGGGACACCACUAUUUACUUCUCUCCAUGCUGAAAAUGGACCAUUUAUUUCUACCCUUUGUUUCCUAACUUUUAACUGGAGUGCCUGGCAAUGUUUUCAGAAGAAGUGGGCUGUAGUCCACAAAAGCUUAUGCUCUAAUAAAUUUGUUAGUCUCUAAGGUGCCACAAGUACUCCUGUUCUUCUUUUUGCGGAUACAGACUAACACGGCUGCUACUCUGAAAACAAUGUUUUCAGGAUCAUCUAAUGAUCCUUCAUUUACUGUAAUGACAAGCCCUUUGUUAU
Long non-coding RNA from Malaclemys terrapin pileata, 746 nucleotides. RefSeq lists it as uncharacterized. The record is from RefSeq and is a predicted model, not a curated record. The transcript is spliced from 3 exons. NCBI's taxonomy places the organism in Eukaryota, Metazoa, Chordata, Testudines, Emydidae.